GAUGAACGCUGGCGGCGUGCCUAAUACAUGCAAGUCGAGCGAACGGACGAGAAGCUUGCUUCUCUGAUUGUAUCGGCGGACGGGUGAGGAACAAGUGGAUAACCUACCGAUAAGACUUGGAUAACUUCGGGAAACCGGAGCUAAUACCGGGUAAUAUUUUGAACCUGAUGGUUCAAAAGUGAAAGACGGUCUUGCUUUCGCUUAGAGAUGGAUCCGCGCUGCAUUAGCUAGUUGGUAAGGUAACGGCUUACCAAGGCAACGAUGCAUAGCCGACCUGAGAGGGUGGUCGACCACACUGGAACUGCGAAACGGCCCAGCAUCCUACGGGAGGAAGCAGUAGGGAAGAUUACGGAAUGGGCGAAAGACUGACGGAGCAGCGACGCGUGAGUGAUGAUGGUCUUCGGCUCGUAAAAAUCUGUUAUUAGGGAAGAACAUAUGUGUAAGUAACUGUGCACAUCUUGACGGUACCUAAUCAGAAAGCGACGGCUAACUACGUG
This 497-nucleotide ribosomal RNA is filed under the name uncultured bacterium. RNAcentral describes it as "partial 16S ribosomal RNA". It matches the Rfam family "Bacterial small subunit ribosomal RNA", at positions 28 to 507 of the family's 1533-position model. The record is from RNAcentral.